GAAAUGCGAUAAGUAAUGUGAAUUGCAGAAUUCAGUGAAUCAUCGAAUCUUUGAACGCACAUUGCGCCCUCUGGUAUUCCGGAGGGCAUGCCUGUUCGAGCGUCAUUUCAACCCUCAAGCAUUGCUUGGUGUUGGGGCACCGCCUGUAAAAGGGCGGGCCCUGAAAUCUAGUGGCGAGCUCGCCAGGACCCCGAGCGUAAGAGGCUUGCCGCCAGGCCCGAGUCCACAAAAUAGAGCUUGGGCGCCUUCACCAGA
Molecule: unclassified non-coding RNA, 255 nt
Filed under: uncultured Diaporthales
Lineage: Eukaryota; Fungi; Ascomycota; Sordariomycetes; Diaporthales
Description: sequence contains ITS1
Rfam family: 5.8S ribosomal RNA (bases 1-105)
Source: RNAcentral